This is a long non-coding RNA of Salvelinus namaycush (lake trout), 731 nucleotides long. RefSeq lists it as uncharacterized. NCBI's taxonomy places the organism in Eukaryota, Metazoa, Chordata, Actinopteri, Salmoniformes, Salmonidae. The record is from RefSeq and is a predicted model, not a curated record. The transcript is spliced from 3 exons.
AAGACACGCUAACUUAAAGCGUUCCUUAAUAUGCUAAAUUCCCUAGCUCCUCCUUUCAACCCGAUUUCACAGUUUGAAGGAACUUCCCUUUCCACCGCAAGCAGAGUGUGAACCUUUACAAGUUCUGGCACAGGAGGUUGAAGGACACACACUUGCCUGUAUAGCCUCUCUGAAAAAAUGUGGCUCUACACCCCCAUGUAAAAGAUGGUGUUGUUUCCUCCUCCCUGGUCCAUCCUAACUCUGGAGGAAACGCCAUAUCUGGAGACAGCAUUCAUGAAGCAAUCCAUUACAGUACUGCUGCGAUUGUUGCUGGAAGCAUGGAGAAACACAACGAGGCGGCUGCACCAACUAAUGCCACCAUGUAUGACUAUCCUCCACCUAAAUCAGAAAACACAGCACUGGUAGAUACAAAAGCUGAAGACACAUGAAAUAUACAAACAUCACCAUCCUCCUUUACCACUUAGAUGCUGCAUCUGGUACCUGCAGUAUAUAACAAAGCAGCAGACCAGAUAUUAAAUUAACAUCCAAAAUGUGGAACAAUGUUAACUAAUCAAGUUAAUGAGUCAAGAGGACAGACUCUCCUGUUGUUCACACUUAGGCACAAAUACUUUGUUCCAACCAUUUUUGCCUCAGUAUGUCCUCAAUAUAAGCAUGUUUGUUAAUUUCAUGAUGCAGAUAUUCUAUCGAUCACAGAAGUAGCAGAAACACAAUAAAACAAUUAUUAUCCACAU